UACGGAGGGUGCAAGCGUUAUCCGGAUUUACUGGGUUUAAAGGGUGCGCAGGCGGAUAUGUAAGUCAGUGGUGAAAUCUUUGGGCUUAACCCGAAAAUUGCCAUUGAUACUAUAUAUCUUGAAUGCUGUGGAGGUAAGCGGAAUAUGUCAUGUAGCGGUGAAAUGCUUAGAUAUGACAUAGAACACCUAUUGCGAAGGCAGCUUACUACGCAGAUAUUGACGCUCAGGCACGAAAGCGUGGGGAGCAAAAGGG
RNAcentral lists this ribosomal RNA (253 nucleotides) under uncultured bacterium. RNAcentral's name for it is "partial 16S ribosomal RNA". It matches the Rfam family "Bacterial small subunit ribosomal RNA", at positions 524 to 776 of the family's 1533-position model. The record is from RNAcentral.